UACGGGGGGCAAGCGUUGUUCGGAAUUACUGGGCGUAAAGGGCGCGUAGGCGGUCUCGCAAGUCAGGGGUGAAAUCCCGGAGCUUAACUCCGGAAUUGCUUUUGAUACUGUGGGCUAGAGUGAGUUAGAGGAUGGCGGAAUUCCUAGUGUAGUGGUGAAAUACGUAGAUAUUAGGAAGAACACCGGUGGCGAAAGGCGGCCAUCUGGACGUUAACUGA
RNAcentral lists this ribosomal RNA (218 nucleotides) under uncultured bacterium. RNAcentral's name for it is "partial 16S ribosomal RNA". It matches the Rfam family "Bacterial small subunit ribosomal RNA", at positions 526 to 743 of the family's 1533-position model. The record is from RNAcentral.